CUCUUAUCGAGAGCGGUUGAGGGACAGGCCCAAUGAAACCCGGCAACCAGGCUGUGCCAUGGUGCUAACUCCUGAUAGAUGAGAG
RNAcentral lists this non-coding RNA (85 nucleotides) under Phascolarctobacterium sp. CAG:266. RNAcentral's name for it is "SAM riboswitch aptamer (S box leader)". It matches the Rfam family "SAM riboswitch aptamer (S box leader)". Rfam says of the family: The SAM riboswitch is found upstream of a number of genes which code for proteins involved in methionine or cysteine biosynthesis in Gram-positive bacteria. RNAcentral also lists the same sequence under 1 other name. The record is from Rfam by way of RNAcentral. Lineage: Bacteria; Bacillati; Bacillota; Negativicutes; Acidaminococcales; Acidaminococcaceae.